CGGACGGGUGAGUAAUGUCUGGGAAACUGCCUGAUGGACGGGGAUAACUACUGGAAACGGUAGCUAAUACCGCAUAACGUCGCAAGACCAAGAGGGGGACCUUCGGGCCUCUUGCCAUCGGAUGUGCCCAGAUGGGAUUAGCUAGUAGGUGGGGUAACGGCUCACCUAGGCGACGAUCCCUAGCUGGUCUGAGAGGAUGACCAGCCACACUGGAACUGAGACACGGUCCAG
This 231-nucleotide ribosomal RNA is filed under the name uncultured bacterium. Its description in RNAcentral is "partial 16S ribosomal RNA". It matches the Rfam family "Bacterial small subunit ribosomal RNA", at positions 99 to 334 of the family's 1533-position model. The record is from RNAcentral.